CUGGGGCGGUCUCCUCCUAAAGAGUAACGGAGGAGUACGAAGGUGCGCUCAGCGUGGUCGGAAAUCACGCGUAGAGUAUAAAGGCAAAAGCGCGCUUAACUGCGAGACCCACAAGUCGAGCAGGUACGAAAGUAGGUCUUAGUGAUCCGGUGGUUCUGUAUGGAAGGGCCAUCGCUCAACGGAUAAAAGGUACUCUGGGGAUAACAGGCUGAUACCGCCCAAGAGUUCAUAUCGACGGCGGUGUUUGGCACCUCGAUGUCGGCUCAUCUCAUCCUGGGGCUGAAGCAGGUCCCAAGGGUAUGGCUGUUCGCCAUUUAAAGAGGUACGCGAGCUGGGUUUAGAACGUCGUGAGACAGUUCGGUCCCUAUCUACCGUGGGCGCUGGAAAUUUGAGAGGAUCUGCUCCUAGUACGAGAGGACCAGAGUGGACGAACCUCUGGUGUACCGGUUGUGACGCCAGUCGCAUCGCCGGGUAGCUAUGUUCGGAAGGGAUAACCGCUGAAAGCAUCUAAGCGGGAAGCCUACCUCAAGAUAAGAUUUCCCUAGGACUUUAUGUCCUCUAAAGAGCCGUUCGAGACUAGGACGUUGAUAGGUUGGAUGUGGAAGCAUAGUGAUAUGUGAAGCUGACCAAUACUAAUUGCUCGUGAGGCUUGACUAU
RNAcentral lists this ribosomal RNA (657 nucleotides) under Acinetobacter baumannii. Its description in RNAcentral is "partial 23S ribosomal RNA". It matches the Rfam family "Bacterial large subunit ribosomal RNA", at positions 2274 to 2925 of the family's 2925-position model. Lineage: Bacteria; Pseudomonadati; Pseudomonadota; Gammaproteobacteria; Moraxellales; Moraxellaceae. The record is from RNAcentral.